GACGAACGCUGGCGGCGUGCCUAAUACAUGCAAGUAGAACGCACAGGAUACACCGUAGUUUACUACACCGUAUUCUGUGAGUUGCGAACGGGUGAGUAACGCGUAGGUAACCUGCCUGGUAGCGGGGGAUAACUAUUGGAAACGAUAGCUAAUACCGCAUAAGAACAUUUACUGCAUGGUAGAUGUUUAAAAGGUGCAAAUGCAUCACUACCAGAUGGACCUGCGUUGUAUUAGCUAGUAGGUGAGGUAACGGCUCACCUAGGCGACGAUACAUAGCCGACCUGGGAGGGUGAUCGGCCACACUGGGACUAAGACACGGCCCAGACUCCUACGGGAGGCAGCAGUAGGGAAUCUUCGGCAAUGGGGGGAACCCUGACCGAGCAACGCCGCGUGAGUGAAGAAGGUUUUCGGAUCGUAAAGCUCUGUUGUUAAGGAAGAACGAGUGUGAGAAUGGAAAGUUCAUACUGUGACGGACUAACCAGAAA
Molecule: ribosomal RNA, 485 nt
Filed under: Streptococcus intermedius
Lineage: Bacteria; Bacillati; Bacillota; Bacilli; Lactobacillales; Streptococcaceae
Description: bacterial SSU rRNA
Rfam family: Bacterial small subunit ribosomal RNA
Source: RNAcentral